UAGCCAUGAUAUGGGCAAGUGAGAAGUAAUUCCUUGAACCAUUCUCAACACUCAAAAAAGGUUUCAUCUCUUUUUGGGGAGAAAUUCAUUAUGUCUUGUAUGAGAGU
Small nucleolar RNA from Magnolia sinica, 107 nucleotides. NCBI's taxonomy places the organism in Eukaryota, Viridiplantae, Streptophyta, Magnoliopsida, Magnoliales, Magnoliaceae. The record is from RefSeq and is a predicted model, not a curated record.